Molecule: ribosomal RNA, 330 nt
Filed under: uncultured bacterium
Lineage: Bacteria
Description: bacterial SSU rRNA
Rfam family: Bacterial small subunit ribosomal RNA
Source: RNAcentral
UGCGUAGGCGGGUCUUUAAGUCAGGGGUGAAAUCCUGGAGCUCAACUCCAGAACUGCCUUUGAUACUGAGGAUCUUGAGUUCGGGAGAGGUGAGUGGAACUGCGAGUGUAGAGGUGAAAUUCGUAGAUAUUCGCAAGAACACCAGUGGCGAAGGCGGCUCACUGGCCCGAUACUGACGCUGAGGCACGAAAGCGUGGGGAGCAAACGGGAUUAGAUACCCUGGUAGUCCACGCCGUAAACGAUGAAUGCCAGCCGUUAGUGGGUUUACUCACUAGUGGCGCAGCUAACGCUUUAAGCAUUCCGCCUGGGGAGUACGGUCGCAAGAUUAAA